This is a small nuclear RNA of Papio anubis (olive baboon), 106 nucleotides long. The record is from Ensembl. NCBI's taxonomy places the organism in Eukaryota, Metazoa, Chordata, Mammalia, Primates, Cercopithecidae.
ACUUGUUUAAAGACAAUUGGCUACUAAAAUUUGAACAACUCAGAGAAGAUUAGUCAGGCUCUUGUACAAGAAUGGUAUGCAAAUUUGUGAAGUAUUCCAUAUUUUU